UCGGCUCACUUGCUCAUGAAAGGCUCAAAAUUUUCCCAGUUAACUCUGUGCUUCAGUCCUAGCAGAGCUGAGAAGCUGGCUGCUGUGAUUUAAGAAGAUGGGCCCUGAGCCAGGGGUGGUACUUCAUGCGAGCAAUCCCAGUAUUCAGAGAGGCCGAGGCAGGAGAAUCUAAAGACAGGAUUUAAAAGCCUGGAGGAUUUAAAGCUAACAGGUCAGUCUGUUAGCCAGACCCCCGUCUCCAAAAAAAAAAAAAAAAAAGGCCUCAGAAGCCUUUUUCUUCGAAGGACUUUCCGGAAGAACUUUCCAUGAACUUUUCAGAACUGUGUCUGCAGGCAAGGCUUCCCGGGACUCACCGGUGACGGGAACCGAGAUUCCCGGAGACCCGGGUCCCCUACGAUUUUAAGCAGGGCACCGGUGAAAACCUGGAUCCAGGAUUUUGCAGCCUGACCGGGCCUUCCGUUCCGCAGCGCGCUUUCCCGGUCUUGCCCCGAGCCUGGGCGCACCCGAGGCGAAGCCGCCGGCUGCAGUGUGCGGCGCGGCGAGCCGGGAGUCCGGGUCUUAGGUCCUGGGAUGGCCGGCGGGGCCGAAUCUGCACCACGGACCCGAGCGACACUUUUCUGCCGCCCGCGGCCGGGACGCGCCUGCUGCCUCCGCGACCGGGACCCUGCGUGUGCCAGAAGGAAAAUUUAUUGAUGUCUUCUUGCCUGAAGAAUCUCCGGCUGUUCUGAUGAUGGCUUAGCAGGACUGCAUGCUGUUCCCUCUUGAUGCCGCACCAGGCCCACUUGGCGCUUCAGAUCUCAGUCCUUCAUGGAGACCAGGUCCCAGCAGGAAUGGCAGUGCAGGAAAUUGGCACCCAGAUGGUUCCUCCACAUGAAGUCGUCUCGGGCUAUGGGCUGACGCGAGGACACCUGGUAGCUGGGCCAGCCCUCUGUCAGUCACCCGAGGACGGGCAGCAUGGUGCGCCUUCAGAGGAGGAAGCUUUUGGCAUCCUGCCUGUGCAUGACAGCUACUGUCUUUCUGCUUGCUACACUCCAGGUUGUGGUUGAGCUGGGCAAAUUUGAAAGGAAGAAGUUUAAAAAUUCCCAUUUGCAAGAUGGACAUAACACGGUGGAAGAAGGGUCUAAUCGUCUCAAUGUAUUCCUUAAGAAAGAAGCACUGACCUUGAAUGGGAAGAAAAAGUUGGAAGUUGGUGACCACCCCAUCAUGCUCUGGUGGUCCCCACUCACUGGGGAAACUGGACGGCUGGGCCAGUGUGGAGCCGAUGCUUGUUUCUUCACCAUCAACCGGACCUAUCUGCAUCAUCCCAUGACCAAAGCAUUCCUCUUCUAUGGUACUGACUUUAACAUAGAUAGCUUACCUUUGCCUCGGAAGGCCUAUCACGACUGGGCCCUUUUCCAUGAAGAGUCUCCGAAAAACAAUUACAAGCUCUUUCAUGAGCCUGUCAUCACCUUGUUCAACCACACAGCCACAUUCAGCAGGCAUUCCCACUUGCCACUGACCACUCAGUACCUGGAGGGCGUUGGUGCCCUGAAGUCACUGAAAUACUUAGUUCCUCUGAAGUCCAAAAACAUCCUAAGGAAAAGACUUGCUCCGCUGGUGUAUGUACAGUCAGACUGUGACCCGCCCUCAGAUAGGGACAGCUAUGUUCGUGAGCUGAUGGCCUACAUCGAGGUUGAUUCCUACGGUGAGUGUUUACGAAACAAAGAUCUUCCUCAGCAGCUGAAAAAUCCAAGUUCUAUGGAUGCCGAUGGCUUUUAUAGGAUUAUUGCCCAGUAUAAGUUUAUCCUGGCUUUUGAGAAUGCAGUUUGUGAUGACUACAUCACGGAGAAGUUCUGGAGACCGCUGAAACUGGGAGUAGUCCCUGUGUACUAUGGGGCCCCCAGCAUCACAGACUGGCUUCCAAGUAACAGAAGUGCCAUUCUUGUAUCAGAAUUCGCUCAUCCCAGAGACCUGGCAAGUUACAUUAAACGACUGGACUAUGACGACAGAUUGUACGAGGCCUACAUAGAAUGGAAGCUGAAGGGUGAGAUCUCUAACCAGCAACUUCUGGCAGCUCUCAGGGAACGGAAGUGGGGCGUACAAGACAUCACCCAGGACAACUACAUUGACGCCUUUGAGUGUAUGGUGUGCAGCAAGGUGUGGGAUAACAUUAGGCUACGGGAAAAGGGCUUGCCACCCAGAAGAUGGAAGGCAGAAGGGACCCACCUGAGUUGCCCAGCGCCCACCAUGUUUGCCUUCUCAACGGCUUCUCGUUGCCCUCAUUGCCCUCUGGCACCUCGUGGGAAUUCUUUGCGGGAGAUGUGGAUCGCAAGCUUCCAGCAAUCCAGAAAGGAAGCCCAGGCGCUAAGGUGGCUGGUUGAGAGGAAUCGAAACUUUUCAGCUCAAGAAUUCUGGGCCCUAGUUUUCAAAGACUAAUUUCAAAAUGGGUUACAGUGUCUUAGACUUGAGGAGGUUUAUUUUCUAGGUUGCCUUAAUAUUUGAAGAUGAUAGCUAUUUUGUUGACUAUCCUUGUGGAUGAAAAUUAAUCGCUGCAGUUUUCAGAGCUCUAUCAAAUAAUAGAUAUGAAUUAUUCUUACAGGUUGCCUCUGUAUUUUUUUUUACACUAAAAAGUGAAUAUUUUUUAUGGCCACAGAUGGUCUCCAGUUUCCAUGUGUAGACUCAUGUUCUAGCUGCGUUUUGUGGACAUUCUCCCAGGGUACAGCGGGUGUUGCCCUUGCUGCAGUGGAGCUAGAAGAUCUCACUGUGGCUUGUUUGGUGCCCAUCUCACCAUCAGCAGGCAACGUUCGGCAAGCCCAGUGCCUCGGUGCCAAGUGUGAGCGUGAAGUGCACCAGAUCUUGGCAGUGAGAGAGUCCAUCUGUUUGCUUCCAGGGAUGCCAGUAAGAAAAGCUGUGUCAAGCUUAUCUGCCAUCCACUCUUUAGCAAUAAUAAUAAUAAUAAUAAUAAUAAUAAUAAUAAUAAUAAUAAUCCUGGACAGGAUGCCUGCUUUCUUGAUACUCUUCAGUCACCACUUUAGCCUUUUUAAUAUUCCCCUUGCCUGGUGGCCUGAUGUUUUAUUCCAAAUUGGUAGGUCACAUAGAGAUGUAGCUCCUCUGUGUGUGCUUUGUUUUUGGAGACAAGAUCUUACUAUGUACCCCACAGCUGGCCUUGAACUUGCAGUCCUCCUGCGUCUACCUGAAAUGCUGCAACUGAAAGCAUACAUUACUGGACCUGGCCUCCUUGUGUUUUGAUCAGGGAGAUGUAGAUUGUUCCUUAUACUAAUGAAUGAUACUAAUUGUCUGAAUGGAUCUGGCCAGCUUGUAGGUUUCAAUCAAUGUAAGAGGGGAAAUGAAUAUUCCCAAGCACUUUUGUUAGUUGAAGCUAAUUUGUAGACUGAUAGGCAGCCCAUUGUGAUGGGCCUUCCACAGCUUUCAAUUUGUGAGCAUUUCCUGCUUUCUGAUCCUUUCACAGAGGAGGUUUGGCUGUCUUGUCUGGGUGUCUCCUGGAGGCCCACAAAAGACAAGGAGAAACAAUACUGGCUCACAUUUUCUUCUAUGCAAUGGUGGUAACUUGUAUUUGACACUGUAGCCUGCUACACCUAAUGUGUCAUGGCUCCUGUGCCAUGUACUAUGGAAAGGUGGUAACUUCUAUUUGACACUGUAGCCUGCUAUAGCUAAUGUGUCAUGGCUCCUGUGUCAUGUACUAUGGAAAGGCACAGGCCACAGUGGGGACCCAGAGGACACAGCCUAGGGGAAAUUUCAGAAUGUUCUCCAGCUGCCCUUUUAUUGCCUGCCAGUGCCACUGUCCUACCUGCCCUAGGCAGUGUCUUCACUGUGGAGCCCUCCUCUGGCUAUGGCAGCCAGGGGUGAGGAAUCAGAGCCAAUCCUGCACCUUCCUCAGGAGCAAGAAGGACCAGAUUGCUGGCCUAGGUUCCCCCCAGUCCCAGAUAUGCCAUUAAUUGUGAUCUUAGACAAAGGUUUUAACCUCUCUGGGCCUUAGUUUUUACAUCUGAAAAGAAAUGAUGGGGCUGGACUUUCACAUUGUUUCUAUGUAACAUUCUUUAAUUUUUCAUCAAAAUUUAAGAUGUUUACUAUUGUAGUUUUUUGUUGUUGUUAUUGCUAAGACAGCAACAGACUAGCUCAGAGCAACUGUAUGUAACUCAAGGGACGAGCUCUUCCUUGGAGAAGGGUGGUGCUUGCUUGUAGUACUGGGGAUGGAGGAGACUGUAUUUCUCUGCCAUUUUACCUGAUGUAACCAAAGUAGGAAAGCUUAAAAAGGGAGAUUAUUUGUUAAAGGUCAAGUUUUAAAUGAUAUACUAAAUAAGAUGGGGUUUCUGCACAUGGAAAGAAAGCCCAUCCAAGAGGUCAUUUUUGCCUAUGAGAAGAUAUCUUAGUAGAUUCAGUUCUGCACACAUGCCUACUUAAGCUGCAGCGUUCCUGUAUUCUGUUUUUGCUUCACAGUACCAGGGAUCAGUAAGCUGUGGUGUAUAUGCAACAUACGUGUCCUAUACUCCCUGUUUCAUGCAGUCUUGUUCCAUCCUAGUUCUUUAUCAAGAAUUCAUAGGUAAAUUUCUCCCCAAACUUUUUUGAAGUAUAAAGCCAUAAACAAAUUCAGUGAAAUAGAAUUAUUGAUUGUUUAAUACAGUAUAAAAGCUUUUUAGGGUAGGAGAAUAGAAAAGAGGGUGUCCCAUGGAUUGUAAAAUAGUUGUAUUACAAAGAAAGCAACUUAAAGGUUCACUGGGAUUCUGUGAAUGUGGAUUUGAGACUUGACUUUUCUGGCUUAGCGCGUGAUUCUUCUGUCGCAGGGAUUUCACUGGGAAAACAGUGCCUUCCUGCUUCUGACAGCCGCUGUUAGAAGUGUGCCCCCAUGAUAGCAGGGUUCUUUUCUGCAGAUGCAAGAUGUACUUUAUGAAUGCUUUAGUAUUUUCGUCUGGUCUCUUGGCUCCCUCAUAUAAUGUCUUUCUGUUUGCUCUUCCAUGUUUGUUUUGUGAAGUGUGACUAAGCCAGUGACCUGCCUUGUGGCCUCUCGCGAGGAACGACCGAAGGCAGUACCAUGAAGCAAGUUGCUUACAAACAGCAGAAACUUAUUUCUCGCAGUUUGGGGGGCUGGCAAGUCCAAGUCCUAAGUGUCUGCAGACUUGGUGCCUGUAAAGGCCUGCUUUCUGCCUCACAUAUGAAGUCUUGCUGGGACACUGCAUAGUGGAAGAGAUAAAGGAGCUUGCUGGGGUCUCUUGUAUGGUCACUCAUCCUGUUCACAAGGACUCCACCUUUAUGACCCACUUACUCUUGAAAGACUUCACCUAAUCCUGUUAUGAUUUUAACGUGUUAAUUUGGGGUUUAAGAGAAUUCCAGUUGCAGCAUUCUGCUCCUCAGCCCUCUGAAAUUCUUCUCCUUCUCACAUGCAAAAUAUUUUUGAGGCAUCCAAACAGUCUCCAAUGUAUUAAGUUGUUCCAGCAUCAACUGAAAGGUCUCAGAUCCAGUGUCUCCUCUGAGUACUGUCUAAAUCGUAUGUGAGUGAGUUCACGAUGUGCUUCAUCUGGAGACAGAUUGCCCUUAAGCAGUGAAGCCAAGUAAGUUAUGUGUAUCAUAAAUAUUGUGGUGGGAUAGGCAUAAGAUACAUACACCCAUUCCAACAGGGAGAUAUGGAAAAGAAGCGAAUGUCCUGGAGGAGUCCAAAUUAUAAACUUGUUUUGGCUCUUAGUGCUCUUUUUUUCCAUGAACAGUAGGAUGGAAACCUCAGCCCCAGGCCUGGUGAGGCAGCUCCUUCCAGCUUUGCAUGCAAACCUCUUCCCUAUGCCGUACUUCUCCCUGGUUGGGGUGUUUGCUCUUGGCUGCAGGCCUUUGAAACCUAGGUGGAGAUGGCUGUGUUCUCUGGUUCUGUGUUGUCUGUGUACCUGUGGAGACCACACUGCAGGGACAUCGUGGAAGAUGCCUGUCUGCUCCCUCAGGAGUGGACUGCACUGCUCCAGGGUACUGGUGCCUGCCAGAGAGGCUGAGAAGCACUGGGCGUCGUUGCUGGAGUGAGGGCCUUGAUGAGCAGCGGUGCUGAGUAGCAUUGCCCCAGUCCAACAGAUGGCACUGCUUCCCUUCUGUGAAACUGCCCUGUCCCCUCUGUGUUCAUGUGCUCUGGAUGGUGGGUGUGUGAUGGCAGGAGCAGGUCGAAGGUCCUCUCAGUCGUGUUCCCGGUUCUUCAGCCUUUGUUGUGGAGAACAGCCCCUGGCUUCUUCGGGCAUGGGUGAUGCGUACUAGUCUCCUUUGGGCACACUCUUAGUGUUCUUUUUUUCCACUGUGGCAGAGAAUGUUCUAAGUGUUUGAAUUGUUCUUUGUACUUAACAGUUCUGUCUUUGAGUUACUUCUUCUCACAUUACAAAGAGUCAAGAGAAGCCAAAACUGCAUCUUCAAUACCUUGCUUAGAAAUAGCUUCAGUUAAAUAUUCAGUUCUGUUACUCAUAAUAUCUGCUCUCCAUGAAACCCUGGAAUACAAACAUGAUUCUGCCAGGUUCUUUGUCAUUUUAUAGAAGAACCAUUUUCCAAUAAUGUAUUCUUCAUGUACAUGAGACUUUAUCAGAUGGGCUUUCCCUAAAGUUCGUGUUACUUGAAAUCUUCUGUUCAGGAUUACAGCAGUGUUAUGGUUUAGAUCGGAAAUGUCCCCCCAGAGUCUUAGGUAUUCAGAGAUGAGGGUUGAUGGGGCCAGGGGGUGCUGUGUUGAUCAGUUGGUCCCCUGAUGAGUCCAUAGCUGGUGUUCUAGGAGGUGGAGCCUGGUGGGAGAGGUGGCCACUGGGGGUGGGACCUGGAAGGGCAUGGUCUUGCCCCAGCUCCUCCCUUCUGUUUCUCAGCUGCUUUUUUUUUCCUGCCAUGCCCUUUCCACCAUGCCAUUCUUCCUUGAAGCCAGCUAUGGACUGAAUUCCUCCCAAACUGGGAGCUAAAAUAAAUCUCCCCUUCUUUAGGUUGCAGAUGUCAGGUGUUUUGUACCAGCAAUAGGAAGGUGACUGAUACAUGAUGUACUCUCUAAGAAAAUUGAGGCUUUCUUUGUGGCUCUCCUCUUUUCUUUCUGAGCCACCAUCAGAAUUACCUCCCCCUCCUCUUUUUUUAAACAAGGAAUUGAGCUCAAGCCCUCACACUUGCAAGCCAGGUGCUAUCACUGAGCUAAACCCCUGGCAGGAUUACCCUUAACUACUUGUUAUGGUUAUGUCUAACUGUCCCACCCCAAGCUUCAUACACUGACAGAUGGGGCAUUUGCAGAGGUGGCUGAACCUAGACCAUGUGAUGCUGGGAUUGAUUCCUGGUGCAAUGUGAGGAUGAAGGUCACUAGGGCUAAGGGUGUGAGCGGUACCUGCCUUAAGUAGCCUGGGUAAGAAAGAAGAGAGAGAAAGAGCUGUGGUUGUCUCCCUUGUUGCUUUACUACCUGCUGCCUGCUGGGAGCUGUGUCUCCUCUGGGAUGCUCCUCUGCCAUGCCACCUUACUUUGGAGCCAGCCAGCUAAGAACUGAAACCUCUCCAAACUGUGAGCCAAAUAAACUUUUCUGCCUUGAACUUUGGUUGUCAAGUGUUUUGUCUCAGCAACAAAAAAAGUAACUAAGACACCAUUCAUGGUAAUGUAGGCUUUUCUUUUUGA
Octodon degus (degu) is the source of this 7590-nucleotide RNA transcript. It is a transcript of the gene named fucosyltransferase 10, with no coding region annotated. The transcript is spliced from 6 exons. The record is from RefSeq and is a predicted model, not a curated record. NCBI's taxonomy places the organism in Eukaryota, Metazoa, Chordata, Mammalia, Rodentia, Octodontidae.